UGUGGUUUAUAAGUGACUAUAGCUUUCUAUUUCGCUCAGGUCACCCUUCGUUGGAGUUUCAGUUACUGCGAUAGCAUUUAUAAAGAAAUUGCCUAACAUGUUUCUGAUAAUUAACGUGAAUGAUGGUUGCAGCUUCUCUCUGUGACAGGCGUGCCGAAGUUUGUGCUGUCACAGAAAACAAAAGGAGCAAAUUUCCUCGGGUACACCGCCAGCUCGAGGUGUGUGACCAUGGAAUUGCUUGGAGGGAGCGGUGAAUGUACCGUAGUUCUCGACCACUUCACUGACAACAAAUGGCUUACAGAUGUACUUUACGCAACGACGUCCCGCUCUGUAAUCAACUUCACAGCCAUAGAUUUUGACAAUGGUACACACUCUGUUCCAGCAUCACCACUUUACCGACUUAUCUAUACUGAUUACACUACCUGCUUCCUUGUGAUGGGUAGGCAGUCAAG
This 452-nucleotide long non-coding RNA is filed under the name Dermacentor andersoni. Its description in RNAcentral is "uncharacterized LOC126529474". The record is from RNAcentral. Lineage: Eukaryota; Metazoa; Arthropoda; Arachnida; Ixodida; Ixodidae.